GGGAGGAUGGCUCAGUUGGGAAGAUCUGAGUUUUGGUUCCCCUUUCGUUUAUUCGAAAGGUCGUGGGUUCGAUUCCCGCUCCUCCCC
Molecule: non-coding RNA, 87 nt
Organism: Sordaria brevicollis
Lineage: Eukaryota; Fungi; Ascomycota; Sordariomycetes; Sordariales; Sordariaceae
Source: the annotation of a GenBank genome assembly